AUUUACGGCCAUACCACCCUGAACACGCCCAAUCCCGUCUGACCUUGGAAGCUAAGCAGGGUUGGGCCCGGUCAGUACGUGGAUG
Molecule: ribosomal RNA, 85 nt
Filed under: Propithecus coquereli (Coquerel's sifaka)
Lineage: Eukaryota; Metazoa; Chordata; Mammalia; Primates; Indriidae
Source: RNAcentral